UACGCGUUCUGACGCAAUUAUAUUGCUCAGGCAACACGUAGAAAGCGGGAACGAGCCAGAAACUUGCGAUCCCUUAAAUUUUUGGAUGCUGUGUUCAAACAACAUGCAGCCCUUCAAGGAGCUAA
Non-coding RNA from Drosophila bipectinata, 125 nucleotides. NCBI's taxonomy places the organism in Eukaryota, Metazoa, Arthropoda, Insecta, Diptera, Drosophilidae. The record is from RefSeq and is a predicted model, not a curated record.